Molecule: small RNA, 88 nt
Filed under: Salix viminalis (osier)
Lineage: Eukaryota; Viridiplantae; Streptophyta; Magnoliopsida; Malpighiales; Salicaceae
Source: RNAcentral
CUUUUAUGAUGGGAAAAUUGACCCGCUUGUUUGGCUGAGUCAUUGUGAUCAUUACUUCCGCCAUCAACAUAUUCCAGAGGAAUAGAAG